This 454-nucleotide ribosomal RNA is filed under the name uncultured Acidovorax sp. Its description in RNAcentral is "bacterial SSU rRNA". It matches the Rfam family "Bacterial small subunit ribosomal RNA", at positions 924 to 1382 of the family's 1533-position model. Lineage: Bacteria; Pseudomonadati; Pseudomonadota; Betaproteobacteria; Burkholderiales; Comamonadaceae. The record is from RNAcentral.
CACAAGCGGUGGAUGAUGUGGAUUAAUUCGAUGCAACGCGAAAACUUACCUACCCUUGACAUGUCUGGAACCUUGCUGAGAGGCGAGGGUGCCUUCGGGAGCCAGAACACAGGUGCUGCAUGGCUGUCGUCAGCUCGUGUCGUGAGAUGUUGGGUUAAGUCCCGCAACGAGCGCAACCCUUGUCAUUAGUUGCUACAUUCAGUUGGGCACUCUAAUGAGACUGCCGGUGACAAACCGGAGGAAGGUGGGGAUGACGUCAAGUCCUCAUGGCCCUUAUAGGUGGGGCUACACACGUCAUACAAUGGAUGGUACAAAGGGUCGCCAACCCGCGAGGGGGAGCCAAUCCCAUAAAGCCAUUCGUAGUCCGGAUCGCAGUCUGCAACUCGACUGCGUGAAGUCGGAAUCGCUAGUAAUCGUGGAUCAGAAUGUCACGGUGAAUACGUUCCCGGGUCUU